CGUGGGUAACCUGCCCAAGAGAUCGGGAUAACACCUGGAAACAGAUGCUAAUACCGGAUAACAACAGAUGAUGCCUAUCAACUGUUUAAAAGAUGGUUCUGCUAUCACUCUUGGAUGGACCUGCGGUGCAUUAGUUAGUUGGUAGGGUAACGGCCUACCAAGGCGAUGAUGCAUAGCCGAGUUGAGAGGCUGAUCGGCCACAUUGGGACUGAGACACGGCCCAAACUCCUACGGGAGGCAGCAGUC
RNAcentral lists this ribosomal RNA (246 nucleotides) under uncultured Lactobacillus sp. Its description in RNAcentral is "partial 16S ribosomal RNA". It matches the Rfam family "Bacterial small subunit ribosomal RNA", at positions 116 to 355 of the family's 1533-position model. Lineage: Bacteria; Bacillati; Bacillota; Bacilli; Lactobacillales; Lactobacillaceae. The record is from RNAcentral.